CGGACCCUUCGGGGUUAGUGGCAGACGGGUGAGUAACGCGUGGGAACCUACCUAUAAGUACGGAACAACACAGAGAAAUUUGUGCUAAUACCGUAUGUGCUCUUUUGAGUAAAGAUUUAUCGCUUAUAGAUGGGCCCGCGUUAGAUUAGCUAGUUGGUGAGGUAACGGCUCACCAAGGCGACGAUCUAUAGCUGGUCUGAGAGGAUGAUCAGCCACACUGGGACUGAGACACGGCCCAGACUCCUACGGGAGGCAGCAGUGAGGAAUAUUGGACAAUGGGGGCAACCCUGAUCCAGCCAUGCCGCGUGAGUGAUGACGGCCUUAGGGUUGUAAAGCUCUUUCAGUAGUGAAGAUAAUGACGGUAACUACAGAAGAAGCCCCGGCUAACUUCGUGCCAGCAGCCGCGGUAAUACGAAGGGGGCUAGCGUUGUUCGGAAUCACUGGGCGUAAAGCGCGCGUAGGCGGACUUUUAAGUCAGGGGUGAAAUCCCGAGGCUCAACCUCGGAACUGCCUUUGAUACUGGAAGUCUUGAGUUCGAGAGAGGUGAGUGGAAUACCGAGUGUAGAGGUGAAAUUCGUAGAUAUUCGGUGGAACACCAGUGGCGAAGGCGGCUCACUGGCUCGAUACUGACGCUGA
RNAcentral lists this ribosomal RNA (636 nucleotides) under Cohaesibacteraceae bacterium GUDS1139. RNAcentral's name for it is "bacterial SSU rRNA". It matches the Rfam family "Bacterial small subunit ribosomal RNA", at positions 67 to 749 of the family's 1533-position model. The record is from RNAcentral. Lineage: Bacteria; Pseudomonadati; Pseudomonadota; Alphaproteobacteria; Hyphomicrobiales; Cohaesibacteraceae.